GAUGAAGAACGUAGCGAAAUGCGAUAAGUAAUGCGAAUUGCAGAAUUUCCGUGAGUCAUCGAAUCUUUGAACGCACAUUGCGCCCCCUGGUAUUCCGGGGGGCAUGCCUGUCCGAGCGUCAUUUCAACCCUCAAGCGCGGCUUGUGUUAUGGGCGAUGUCCCCCGUGGACGAGCCCGAAAGUUAGUGACCGCAGCCGCGACUUCGGCGCCUGAGCGAAUGGGAAGUCCACCGCUCCAGAGGCCCGGCCGGCCGUCCGGUCCCGAGAUCUCGUGUGCCUGCGCACGAGAACCCCCCAUCGGUUGACCUCGGAUCAGGUAGGGAUACCCGCUGAACUUAAGCAUAUCAAUAAGCGGAGGA
This 358-nucleotide unclassified non-coding RNA is filed under the name soil metagenome. RNAcentral's name for it is "partial contains 5.8S ribosomal RNA, internal transcribed spacer 2, and large subunit ribosomal RNA". The stretch from base 1 to 121 matches the Rfam family "5.8S ribosomal RNA", at positions 35 to 154 of the family's 154-position model. The record is from RNAcentral.